CGCAAUUUCUGUGGAUCGAUCCGAGCCAUCAUAACCUAGCCGCAACCGCAAAAUCCUCCCUUGUCGUUGCCCCCAUCCAUGUCCACCUCGACCCGAUCACCGCUCCCGCCAGCAGACCCCGAGGCAGAGAGAUCACCGGCCCAGGUUUAUUUCCCCUUCAAUACCAUCCCCUACCUUGCCGCCAUCACCAAGAGUUAAGUUUGACUGAGGACGCCCGGUGCCAGCAAUCGCCGGAGAAAGACGGGCACGAGAAGGAGAAGCCGCUGGCCCGCUCCGCAGCGGCGACGCUCCUGCGAACCUCGCGAACCCAGGGAAGAAGAUGUGCCGCUUGGAAUCUGUUCCGUCCAUCCUCUACAGGUCAGUUUCUCUACCCCUUCUGUACAUCCCCUAUUUUUGAUGGAUUCACUUACUUGAUCUGAUCUCUAUUUUGGGGGAAGAGGAGAUCAGAGGAUGAGCACCAGAUGAUCCGACUACAGAAACUGAGAGAAAUCAGAGACUUGACAGCCGUGAUUUAUUGCUUCUUAUAUCACGCAGGCAUUAGGGCUCUCCCAAUCUCAUCCUAGAGGAAUAGGACACCUUGCAUGACCGUGAGCACCGCUGCUCAUCGCAGCUUGUCAGAUUAGGCUGGUUCAAGCAGUGUCUUAGGCAUGCUACUAUCCAAGGCGGUCUUCGCGCUUCCACCCUACAUCCACGCUAUCCACCAUGUCUCUCCCUAGAUGUGUGGGGAGGAGCAAGCAGGAGGGAAGGAGGAGCACGCAUGACUCCUCUGUCCUGGCCAUCAACACCAAAAUUUGUUCAUAGUUAUUCAGGUGCACUAUUUAGUUAUAUAUGUUAGGAAAAUCUCCCUCGGUGGAGAUCCUGCAGUACUAUAAUUUUGUAGCUUCCUUGUAAUGUAUAAGAUCACGAUAUACACCACAUUCAGUUGCAAGGACGAUGGCGAUGAAAGUUGACAAGGUACUUGAAAGACUACCUGGAAGGAAGAAAAAGAUGACCGUGGUAAGCCAUUCUGAGCUGAAGUGUUAUAUUUUUCUUAUCAACAGCUCCUCAAAAUGCCAUGCCUUACCAAUUCAGAGGUUUUUGACCCUGAUAAAAAAUGUAUUAUUAUUCUAUUCUAUUGGCCAUUAUGAAGGAUGCAUACUGAAAAAAUUCAACAGAAGGCACAUUUUUGCAAGUCAUUGACAGUCUAUAUUUUUUUAAGUUGGAAGAGUGUGUCAUUGACACCCUUGAUCUGAGGGCUACACUUUGCAUAUUGACUUGAUACAUGCACUGUUUUUAAUUACCAUUUCUACCGUUUCUCAGAUUUUGAACGUGAAACCAGGAGAAAUGUUCUUGGGAUUCUUGCCGAAUGAGUAAUCCUACUUAAUAUGCUUUUGUUAUUUGGAACCUAUUACAGCGGUCUGUCAUGAGCAUAGGGCAUUGCUGCAUUUUAUCUGGAUGUGUACAGAUUUGUCAUAAUACUACCGUUUAUUUUGCAUCAUUCAUUUAGUCCAGUUUAGUCCUCACAUAUGUUCAUCUUACUGUUCAUUAGAUGGUGUUCGACCUUAAGAGCUGGUGAUUUCUGUACAUGCGCUGAACCAACGAAAGUUGUCAUAGAUUUUGUAGCUUUUACUUGGUAAGAACUAAGAAUAAUGUACACUCGUACUUGCUUAAUUUUUAAAUAGUUAAGUUUGUAAUGUACAUGAACAAGUGCAGCCACACGACUCACUUAAUACUCCUUCCAAUCCAGAAUAAGUGUCAGAUUUGAACUAAGGAUAAACUAACCUUAGUUCAAAAUUGCAACACGUAUUUUGGAUCGGAGGGAGUAGUAUUUAGCGAUGUCUUUGCCUUAUUAUUUAUACUACUAAAUUUUCAUGUAUUAAUGUGAACAGAAAGGCCAUGGUUGCAUAUUGGUUCUAUAUAAGUAUUACUUCCACUGUUUUUCCCUAUACAAAUAUAUAAGGCUCUACUAACUAUAACUUUCCAUUUGGCUUCACUUUCCUGUUACAAUAAUCUUUUGGCACAUUGGUGGUCAUAAAAUGCGGGGUUGUAGAUUUAUGAUCCAAUUUAUGAAAUGCUACAAAAAUCUUAGUAGACAUGAAACUCAAAGGAUGGCCAAUAUGACAAUCAAAUUAUAGAAAAUGACAGUUACUUGAAAAGAUAAAUAUUUGGUUUGCCUUACAUGAUGGUUUUGAAGUUCUAUC
Triticum aestivum (bread wheat) is the source of this 2180-nucleotide long non-coding RNA. RefSeq lists it as uncharacterized. The record is from RefSeq and is a predicted model, not a curated record. Lineage: Eukaryota; Viridiplantae; Streptophyta; Magnoliopsida; Poales; Poaceae. The transcript is spliced from 3 exons.